RNA transcript from Ipomoea nil (Japanese morning glory), 2357 nucleotides. RefSeq lists it as uncharacterized. NCBI's taxonomy places the organism in Eukaryota, Viridiplantae, Streptophyta, Magnoliopsida, Solanales, Convolvulaceae. The transcript has 2 exons. The record is from RefSeq and is a predicted model, not a curated record.
AGUUCUGUAAUACGAAGAAAACCAUUUUUCUCAGUCGCUCCGAUAACUGAACCGGAUCGGCGCAGGUCUUAGAAAUGCUCCCGACCGUCGUCUUCCUCCUCCUACUCCGCCUCCUCGCCACCGCCACGGUCACCAUCUCCGCCCCAAUUUUGGGAUUGGACUCCUUUCUUGCUCAACAAUCCAGGGUUGACCCUCAAGCCACCAAUGACUCCUUCCUUUCUCUACCUUCCUAUCUGAAGAAAACUCUCUCCCAAACCUCGCCUCAACAGCCGGCCACCAUCGCCGCCCUCCUUUCCCUCCAAGUCUCCGUCCCAAUCACCGUCAAGCUGGUGGGGACCACCUUCACCUCCUCCUCUCCCGCCACUCUCUCCUCCUUCAUCUCCUCCGCCGUCUCCUUCGAUCACUACCACGUCAUCUCUCCGUUCACCACCCAACCCUCCCACCACCUCUCUCUCUCCCAUUCUCUCCACCCAGAAGUCUCUCUCGCCCCUCCUUCGCUCGCCACCCAUCUCUCCGAAACCUUGAAAACCCACAUCGCCGCCGCCCCUUCUUCCAAUUUCCGAUCCCAACUCACCUCUGUCCCGUACUCCAUUAUCGACCAGAUUAUCCGACUAGACUUCGAGAAGGAGAAGCCCAUCAGCGGAAUUUACAUUUAUAUCCUCAAUUUGGGCGCCCAAUCCAAACCCUAUGCUUAUAGCUACACCCAUGGCGAUUCUUCCCCGGCUUUUACCAAGUGCUUCGGCAGCAUUUGGACCGGGAAAGACCGGUAUAUCUGGAUCGAUUUAGGGGCCGGCCCGGUCGAGUACGGUCCGGCGCUCUCCGGCGAUGGCCUUAUGCCGAGAGGAGAGUUUCAUCCAUUGGCAUCCCUUCACGGCCGCCCCAAAUCCCAAAGGGCAUUGCUUUCCGACUUGGCCUCAUUGGUCUGGAGUGCUUAUCAGGUUCUUCUUGUUCCCUCCUUGAGAAUUCCUGUCCCUUUUGAGAAUUCAUUGAUAGUUGAGUUUAUACACAUAAAGAGUUCCCCGGAAUCGGAUAGUCAAGAUAGCUUUGGAUUGGAUUGGAAAUCGAUAGAGAUGACUUUUAUGGAUGAAGUAAGGGAUAGUGGAUUAUUGUUGGGUGAUCAAUCUUUAAGCUUUAAGAAGUAUGAGGUGAACUUAGCGGAGUGCUCGAUAUGUUCUUUUGCCAUUUCUAGGGCAACUACUUCAUACACUUCUAGGUAUUUAUUCGAUAACUACACUAUGAUCGUUAGUGAAUACCUGGACUCGAAGCGCUUACACCAGACCUUGUCGGAAUCCGCUGAGGAGUUUAGGCGGGUGGCAAAGCUUCCCCAGGAAGACUUCGGGAGGGUUCUUCCCGUCUAUGUUUUCGACCUGGAUAUCAGCUUGAUUUUGUUGCUCGAUCGAUACCAUCAAACGGUGGCUUUUAAAGAUAUGGUUAUUGCGGUGAGGACAAAGAGUAACCAGGCCGUGAGUGAUUAUAGUUGUAAUGGUCGCCAUGUUUUUACCCAGACCCGUCAGCUCGAGAGACCCCUCGUUGGUUCCAUUUUGCAGAGUAUGUGGGGAGUGUCCCCGACGCAUUUGCUGUGGAGCCCUAAGCACAAUACGACUCUUGUGGACUAUACGUGGAGCGUUGGGCAUACGCCGUUUGGGCCCUUUUCGGAAAUUUCAUCGCUGUCCUUUGUACAGAAAGAUGCUGCUCGAAGGAAUGUUCUUUUGACGUCUUUGAACUAUAGUCUCAUGAGUGCUAUCGAUGUCAUGGAAUCCAUUGCUUCACAUGGCGGGGAGAGGAAACUCCUUAAGCAUAAUCAGCUUCCCGAGUUUAUCCAAAGGUGGAAUUUGUUCAAGUACAAGCUGGAUAAAACAGUUUCGGCUUUGUCACAUUUCGAUUUCGAGAUGGCGUUAUAUUACCUAAGGUCGUCAGAUCAUGAUAUAUAUGCCAUUCACUCUCUUGUUUAUCAUGCUUCCCAAGAUUUGGAGGCGUCGCUCGUCUGCUUUAAGGACCCACCGUUUCCAUGGAUGUCGGUUUCUAUGUCUCUCGGGAUUUUAAUUGGUCUUGUCUAUAUUGUCGCAAAGAGGGACAAGUUAUUUCGGAACAAGAGAAAACAGUUUUAGAGCAUCAGGUUUGGUGAGAUUCGAAUUGAUGAUAUGACAGAUGUUUUGAAAUCUUGACUUCAGUGGUCAGAAAGAGGAUUUAUAUUGACAUCAUCAAGUAUUAAAUUGCCUUAGAGGUGAAGGGGGGAACUCGGGAGAUAGGAUCUCUGUAGUCUACUUAGGCUGUUUAGCUUCUGUUUCUUUCACGGCUGUUAAGAUGUUCUAAAAUCUCACAUUCACUCUUCUUUAUAACUACUGACACUUCAUAGU